RNAcentral lists this ribosomal RNA (340 nucleotides) under uncultured eukaryote. RNAcentral describes it as "SSU rRNA". It matches the Rfam family "Eukaryotic small subunit ribosomal RNA", at positions 22 to 365 of the family's 1831-position model. The record is from RNAcentral.
AGUCAUAUGCUUGUCUCAAAGAUUAAGCCAUGCAUGUCUAAGUAUAAGCAAUUAUACCGUGAAACUGCGAAUGGCUCAUUAAAUCAGUUAUCGUUUAUUUGAUAGUACCUUACUACUUGGAUAACCGUGGUAAUUCUAGAGCUAAUACAUGCUAAAAACCCCAACUUCGGGAGGGGUGUAUUUAUUAGAUAAAAAACCAACGCCCUUCGGGGCUCCUUGGUGAAUCAUAAUAACUUAACGAAUCGCAUGGCCUUGCGCCGGCGAUGGUUCAUUUCAAAUUUCUGCCCUAUCAACUUUCGAUGGUAGGAUAGUGGCCUACCAUGGUGGCAACGUGUAACGG